This is a non-coding RNA of Hymenopellis radicata, 74 nucleotides long. Lineage: Eukaryota; Fungi; Basidiomycota; Agaricomycetes; Agaricales; Physalacriaceae. The record is from the annotation of a GenBank genome assembly.
GCCACAGUGGUGUAGUGGGCGAGCACGUCGUGGCAGUCCCACGGAAACGUAGGUUCGAAUCCUAGCCUGAGGUC